UACGUAGGGUGCGAGCGUUAAUCGGAAUUACUGGGCGUAAAGUGUGCGCAGGCGGCCGAGCAAGUCGAGUGUGAAAGCCCCGAGCUUAACUUGGGAACUGCGCUCGAAACUACUUGGCUAGAGUGUGGCAGAGGGAGGUGGAAUUCCACGUGUAGCGGUGAAAUGCGUAGAGAUGUGGAGGAACACCAGUGGCGAAGGCGGCACUCUGGGCCGGUACUGACGCUGAGGAGCGAAAGCGUGGGGAGCGAACAGG
RNAcentral lists this ribosomal RNA (253 nucleotides) under uncultured bacterium. RNAcentral describes it as "partial 16S ribosomal RNA". It matches the Rfam family "Bacterial small subunit ribosomal RNA", at positions 524 to 776 of the family's 1533-position model. The record is from RNAcentral.